Molecule: non-coding RNA, 487 nt
Organism: Marmota flaviventris (yellow-bellied marmot)
Lineage: Eukaryota; Metazoa; Chordata; Mammalia; Rodentia; Sciuridae
Source: RefSeq, a predicted model, not a curated record
GUAUACCACCACACCUGGUCCACCUCCCCUUUUUAAACAGAAGAAAAAAAAGGAAAAAACCCCAUAGUUUUAAUGUUUGGGAGAGAGACGCUUAGGACAGAUUGUGGUGUCCUUGGUUACUUGUGAUGAAAAUGAAGGAAAAACACAGGAAGUUGAAGAGUAGUCAUUUGAAGGUAAUAUGGUUUCAUCAUUUGAAAUUAAAAAGGACAAGAGGACACAGAGUGAAAAACUUCUUACUCUUAUCCCCAGUGGCCCUCUCCUCCCUAGAGGCAACAAGUAUUACAGUUUCUCCUGUACCCUUCCAGGGACCUUCUCUGAAUAAACAGGUCAUCUGCAGAGACUGACCUCAUAAACGGACCAACCCCAAUUUGCAGCUACUCCUUUCAGGAUGCCCCGUCGCUCUCAAGUGUGCCAUGCUUUAUUAAAAACAACAACAAGCCAGGCGCCGUGGUGAACACCUGUAAUCCCAGCAGCUCAGAGGCUGAGA